Molecule: ribosomal RNA, 253 nt
Filed under: uncultured Wallemia
Lineage: Eukaryota; Fungi; Basidiomycota; Wallemiomycetes; Wallemiales; Wallemiaceae
Description: partial 26S ribosomal RNA
Source: RNAcentral
UAUUCCCAAACAACUCGACUCUUAGAAAGUGUAUCACAUGAUCAUAGUAAUCUGCAUCAAAGACGGGAGUUUCACCCUCUAUGCCAACCUAUUCCAAGGUACUUAUACGCAGGCUACAAUCGAAAACACUUCUUGAGAUUACAAUGCGGUUGCCUGAAAGACAACAGCUUUUAAAUUUGAGCUUUUCCCUCUUCACUCGCCGUUACUAGGGGAAUCCUUGUUAGUUUCUUUUCCUCCGCGCUUAUUGAUAUGC